AGCUUUGCGCAGUGGCAGUAUCGUAGCCAAUGAGGUUUAUCCGAGGCGCGAUUAUUGCUAAUUAAAGCUGGAAUGAUUAUAUUAAUGCAGC
This 91-nucleotide small nuclear RNA is filed under the name Neogale vison (American mink). RNAcentral describes it as "Neovison vison (American mink) U4 spliceosomal RNA (ENSNVIG00000015980.1)". The stretch from base 1 to 67 matches the Rfam family "U4 spliceosomal RNA". From Rfam's summary of the family: U4 small nuclear RNA (U4 snRNA) is a component of the major U2-dependent spliceosome. The structure of U4 snRNA from yeast and human has been reported. U4 snRNA presents a k-turn RNA motif in the 5p-SL related to recognition of Snu13 protein. The record is from RNAcentral. Lineage: Eukaryota; Metazoa; Chordata; Mammalia; Carnivora; Mustelidae.